GUAGGACCCUCCGAGCCAGAAUGGCCCUGUCUGAGAGAUAUGUUACCCUAAACACCAAGACUCAAUAUAUAUGACUUAAGAAAAAAAAGAUCCUUAUGCACUAUCUGAAGGUGAUGCUUCCUGACUUUUGCAACAGAAAGAAUGCUGUCUUCCUGUGCCUGCGGAGAUGAUAAUCAAGCUGGCACACUGACAAUCAAUGUAAAUUCAUUAAACAAAACAGGAAGUAAACAGGUAGGACAUCUUUCUCCUCUGUGCUCCUUCCUUUUCCUCAUGAGAGAAGAAUGGACUAACCUCAUUGAUUGAGAUUGUCAUGACAAUGUGUCUCCUCCCCUUUCCUUUCUGAUUCUGGGUUGAACCCCAAGGAAACAUGAUGAACCAGGUUGCAUGACUGUGAAGGCAGGAUAAAAGAAAAGCAGAAGAACCACAUUAAUCAUGGCAGACAUUGAUGAAGAAGGACAAUGAGGUAUUUGCUUCUGGUGUAUAUAAA
RNAcentral lists this long non-coding RNA (487 nucleotides) under Homo sapiens (human). RNAcentral's name for it is "HSALNT0094310". Lineage: Eukaryota; Metazoa; Chordata; Mammalia; Primates; Hominidae. The record is from RNAcentral.